RNAcentral lists this long non-coding RNA (266 nucleotides) under Citrus maxima (pomelo). RNAcentral's name for it is "long non-coding RNA (CMAX_LNC002309)". Lineage: Eukaryota; Viridiplantae; Streptophyta; Magnoliopsida; Sapindales; Rutaceae. The record is from RNAcentral.
GGAUUUUAUUGUACUCCGGUACGGGUUAAACCCGGACCGGAUUGUCCGGGUUCGUCCGGGUCCGGGCCGUGUCCAGAAAAAACUGCCAUCCCUAGUUGGCUUUACUAUAUGGAGUCGGUUUCCUCAACACUGUACUAAGUGUCUGUGGUGUUUCUCAAACAGGGAGGGGGACAUUUGAUAUAGAAGAAGAUCAAAUGAUGGCAAUUGUCACCAUCAAACCUUGCAAAGGAACAUUUAGAUCAGAACUCGUUCUAGAGAACAAGAAA